UGCUACAGGAUGAGAAGGAUUUUACACAAAGGAGACUAUUGCUGGCUUUGAGGUUGGAAGGGCUGCUCCACAAGGAAUGUGGGUAGCCUCUAGGAGCUGGGAAUGACCCGCAACUAAUAGCCAGCAGGAACUGAAUUCUGCCACAGCCAUAGGAGCUUAGAAGAGGACCCCAAGCUCCAGGUGAGAAGGCACAAAAUGAUUUUUCAUUAACCUUAUGCCAACCCUUCUCUAAUGACCCUUUCAUACGGCAGGGAUAGGCCCUAUUUUUGCCAGCUCUUGAAAUAGCGUUCCUUUCUUUUCUACAUACUUUCCAUAUCAGGCCUUCCAGUUCAAAGUCUGUAACAAUAAUCUUACUUUCCAAAUUAGAAAGGAAAAAAAUUAUACAGGCAGAAUAAGAAACAUAAAUUUUUCAUCUAGCAGAUUUCC
This is a long non-coding RNA of Myotis davidii, 426 nucleotides long. RefSeq lists it as uncharacterized. The record is from RefSeq and is a predicted model, not a curated record. NCBI's taxonomy places the organism in Eukaryota, Metazoa, Chordata, Mammalia, Chiroptera, Vespertilionidae. The transcript has 2 exons.